RNAcentral lists this long non-coding RNA (1380 nucleotides) under Aedes aegypti (yellow fever mosquito). RNAcentral describes it as "lncRNA AAEL026286". The record is from RNAcentral. Lineage: Eukaryota; Metazoa; Arthropoda; Insecta; Diptera; Culicidae.
UUGUGAAUUUUUCAUAAAUCGCUUUAUCAUCGAUUUAUGAAAAAUUCUUCCGCUACGGUAAAGUUGUGUUACGUUUAGAUAUGAUUUGCCGCAAAAGCCGUCGUUUGUAUGCAUCUAGUCAAUAAGUUAUCAUGUUAGCAACAUAUAAGUUCCAACAAAUAUGAUGCACAACGCAAAAGUAGUUGAGCACCCCUGUCAGAAAUCUCUACACAUUCCAUCCAUCGACCACAUCUCUGCUACUACCGUUGCACGAGCAAAGAGCGUCCAUCCUAAUCGAGCAAGCAAACUCACACCGAAGCACAAAUCCAAUACCAUACGGCGAGGGAGAGUGAGAUUACGCUCGCAGUCGGCAAAUGACCCCUCUCAGCAUACCGGCGCAAUACUCACACAAGCGAAAGCUGUGUGUUGACGAUUGGUGAGAGAACAGAACAGUGGUAGUUCGAGUCAGUCCGGCUUGAUGUGCGGAUCAGUUUCCGAAAAGUGAAAGUUGUUUUCGUGAAUUGCGGUGGCGGAUUUCAAGUGCACAUCUCGGUGCAGGUGCAGAAAAUAGUUGGAAGUGGCAGAUAUCACGCCGAUCAGGAUCCACAUCCCACGCAGGCCAAAAGAUCAUUGGCGAUAAAGUGCGAUCAGUGCAGGGUGUUGACGGACAAUCCGCUAGAACCGAGCGCGGCAUAAUCCCGUUCCGCUCCAUUGGCAUACGGUGGACACGAAACGCCACGAGGAAAGUGAAUCACAGCGGCCGACAGGAAGCGCAAAACGGAUCUCCCAGGCAGUUGACGUUGAUUAGCGAGGAAGCUUUAGCGAACCGGCCUGUGGAAGACCGACGCCGAGAGAGACCGACCAACAGCUCGAAGGAGAAGAGACAUCGGAAGGCCCCUUUAAGGGUGAGUGAACGAAAAUGAAGCCGAAUAAAGCACAUCCGACUGAAAGCGUAAUUACAUCAUUACAGGGUUUUUGUGUUCCAUUUCUGGAACCACUUUUGCCAUUGUUGGGCAGUCGCUCAGGCCGUCCGAGUACUGGGUCAUCUUUCUUCGGAUCCGAGGUGAGGAGAACUCCAUCAAGGCAAGACCGUGUGAUAUUGUGCGCUCAGUUAACGACGGUGGUUGGAUACGGCCCGAAACGCUUCAAGACGAACUCGGCCAGCGGCCGAAGGCAGCGCAGUCCCAAGAGACGGUCACCGUGAAUCCCAUUCAUGCUGGGCCGCCCCCCGCCGGUUGAGGGCAAGUUCUUCAGCAUCCAUCAGUCAAGGAAGGAUGAGCUGGCAGGAUGGUGCAUCAGUCGGGAGCGCGCGGUCGGUGUUAGUGCACAGAAGCGGUGCCGUGAGUACCAGCGCCUAGAUUAAGCCAAGUUACGAUGAUUGGGACGGAGGUAUUAUGUUAA